UUGUGUGUGUAAAUGUUAAUAUAGUUAAUUAGAAUAGCAAGUAUAAAUGUUACUAUAAACCGGCUGCGGGAUACACAUCCAAGAGUACUGAAAGCCCUGAAAUCAUAAAUCAUACGGUCAAAUCUAAUGGGAAAUUUAGGGUCAGGUCUGGGGUAUGGGGAUACUUUUGUUUAUUCAAGGAAGCCUGGUUAGUGUAUGGCAGAGUUCGAGAGUUUUCUGUGUGUUUCUGAGUCAGUUGAAUUUGGGCUUAAGACCAGAGCGUUUGUUGUUUGGAAGGAGGUGCCAUCAGAAUUUCUGAUCGUCGGCCACAUUGUGGAGGCAUCUAGAGUGUUGUGUUUAUAGAAGGAAUCUAAAUGGGAUCCCAUUUUUGUUGGUGUAAGAAUUACGAUGAAGAAAGUUGAUGGAAAAGGGGAUAGAAGAUAGAAGUUUAAUAAGACGUAUGAUGCAUACUAGAACUAGUUGAAUAUUGGCCAUCAGUUUCAUAAAGACAACUACAAAUAAAUUAUACAGAGAAACGCACUGACAGGAAGGAAGCAUUCAUAUCAUAGUAAACCUCAAAAAGUGUAGCAGUGAUGUGCACUGUGUAGUUCCGAUUGGGUAACUGGAAAGAACUGGACCUGAGAACUGAAUAUAUAUUUAUGACGUUCACAGCGGAGCACAGCAAGAACAUUUGUUUUUACCAUUUGACAUUCGAUCAUCAUGGAUAAUCUAAACUGAAAUUUCUUAUUUGUUUUUAAAUGUGCAUGCUUUUAGAAUAGAAAUUAAAGCAUGAAAAUUAAAUAGAUAAAUAGAUAAAUAAACUUUGUAAUCCUC
Dreissena polymorpha is the source of this 813-nucleotide long non-coding RNA. RefSeq lists it as uncharacterized. Lineage: Eukaryota; Metazoa; Mollusca; Bivalvia; Myida; Dreissenidae. The transcript is spliced from 2 exons. The record is from RefSeq and is a predicted model, not a curated record.